UUGCCUGAUUCCAGGCUGAGGUAGUAGUUUGUACAGUUUGAGGGUCUAUGAUACCACCCGGUACA
RNAcentral lists this microRNA precursor (65 nucleotides) under Serinus canaria (Common canary). Its description in RNAcentral is "miRNA (ENSSCAG00000000923.1)". Lineage: Eukaryota; Metazoa; Chordata; Aves; Passeriformes; Fringillidae. The record is from RNAcentral.